This 226-nucleotide long non-coding RNA is filed under the name Elaeis guineensis (African oil palm). Its description in RNAcentral is "long non-coding RNA (EGUI_LNC010359)". Lineage: Eukaryota; Viridiplantae; Streptophyta; Magnoliopsida; Arecales; Arecaceae. The record is from RNAcentral.
GGACAAUAGAUUCAGCUUGAGGGCAAGAGGAGUUGUAGAAGCCAACUCAGAGAUUGGUAGAGUUUGAAGCAAUGGCAAGGAGGAGGUGGAGGAUGAAGAGAAGCUUCAUUUCCUAAGAAAAUGAAUUGAUGUUAUGGACUCUCCUAUUGGUUACUUGAAGAGGUGAUGAUGAGAUGACAUCAGAAGACUAUCCAGGGCAUGUAUACAUAUAUAGAGGUGGGGGAAA